GCGCGGUACCGCGGCGGGGGCUGGUGAUCGCGGGGGCUGCCGCCGGACCUAGGGUCCCUGCACACGCAGCAGCCGCAGCGGGCGUGCGGGUAGCCGCGGGACGAGCCGAGGGAGAGGAGGGAGGGGCGGUGGUCCGAGCCGAGGCAGCGGUAGGUCCCGCGAGAGGCCGCUCGGUCGCAGCUGGGCCGCGACCACGUCCUCCACAAGUACCCGUUGCAGGAGUCGCGGUUGGAGCCGGUCCGGGGGCGGUCCGUCCGGCGGGAGCCGCGGCCGGACGGGUUGUGGCAGGGGACGUGGUGGCAGUUGUUUCAGACGAGGAGUCCCUACUUCCGACAGUACGAACGCCGUGUCAGCUAAGUCGACCCCUAGUUGCUGCAGCACCAGCGGCCGCCGUACCUCUCGUACAGGUUACGGGGGUUUAUGCGACGUUGCCGUUCUGCUCCUAGCGCCAAACCCGUACUGCAGGAGUAGCUGCCCUACGAGUUCCUACCCGACACCCUACACAUAUUACUAAAGGUAUACCCCUACACGCGACUCGAGACACGUCUAGUCGUGAGCUAAUGUUCCCUCCUCGUCCUACGAAUACGACAGGUCUCGUUACUCGUGCCUUAUCGUCGAGCUCUGUCGCCGCGCAAACUAACCCUUUAACAAGGCCAACUUUAAGGAAGACCAUCUCCGUCUGGCGGUCAACAACAACUGUUUCUACUCUCAGAACGUUUCAUGCUAGGUCACUUCGACUUCUUUGAACCCGGCCGAAAAUUCUUCUUACCGAGACAUUGACGGCCGUUAAGAAGAUCAUAUUCGCUGCCACGACGACGUUAACACGAUCAGUCACCCCUCUUUCGGUUCUUGGAACCGGAAGUUCAAGAACGUUCCUAGUCUCCCAUGCGACUACGACGAGUCCGUGGACUCGAUAAAUGUUGUUGAGGUCGAGAACGAUAGGGUUUCCGAUAUAGUUUGAGUCCAGAGGCUCUAAGUGUUUAUCUAAUAAUACUCUAUUUACUCCGAAAGAGCCAACAACGUCACCGUUUAGUCUCUGAAGAACCGUAGAGAGGACCUUUUGACUUAUAUUCACCACCGCGACAAAGGGACCCGGUAGGAUAGCCAACGUCACCACGUGCUUAGUAUCAGUGGAACGAGCCCUAAGAAUCUGUCUUUGUCCCGUUCAAACCCCAACGGCCUCAUACGUUGCCGCCCCCACCACGAAGUCGGUAGCAGCAUCUCAGGUACGUUCGAAGCAGCGCGGACGCUAGGAGCGACACU
Molecule: ribosomal RNA, 1263 nt
Filed under: Triticum aestivum (bread wheat)
Lineage: Eukaryota; Viridiplantae; Streptophyta; Magnoliopsida; Poales; Poaceae
Description: partial small subunit ribosomal RNA
Source: RNAcentral